This 311-nucleotide ribosomal RNA is filed under the name uncultured eukaryote. RNAcentral's name for it is "partial 18S ribosomal RNA". It matches the Rfam family "Eukaryotic small subunit ribosomal RNA", at positions 1470 to 1796 of the family's 1831-position model. The record is from RNAcentral.
CCCCUAGACGUUCUGGGCUGCACGCGCGCUACAAUAAUACGCACAGCGAGUAUCACCGAGCUCGAAAGGGCAAGGUAAACAAUAGAAAAGGUACUGUAAUGGUUAUAGAUCCUUGUAAUUAUUGAUCUUCAACGAGGAAUUCCUAGUAAGUAUGUGUCAUCAUCACGCACUGAUUACGUCCCUGCCCUUUGUACACACCGCCCGUCGCUCCUACCGAUUGGGUGAGCCAAUGAAACUCUCGGAUGUAGGCUAUUCAUAGCCCGCAGAAGAGAUUUGAAUCGUAGCGCUUAGAGGAAGGAGAAGUCGUAACA